GACGAACGCUGGCGGCGCGCCUAACACAUGCAAGUCGAACGAUUAAAGCACCUUCGGGUGUGUAUAAAGUGUCGAACGCCUGAGUAACACGUGUGCAACCUGUCCCUUUCAUUUUGAUAUCCCCGCGAGACACUGGGUAUAACCGAAUACUUCGAGUCUUGCUCCUGGAUGACGCGUGCAAGCUCCGGCGGGUGGGGAUUGGCCCGCGGCCUGUUAGCUUGUUGGUGGGGUAAGGGCCUACCAAGGCCAUGAUGGGUAGCUGGGUUGAGAGACCGACCGGCCACAUUGGGACUGAGACACGGCCCAGACUCCUACGGGAGGCAGCAGUGGGGAAUAUUGCACAAUGGGCGAAAGCCUGAUGCAGCGACGCCGCGUGCGGGAUGAAGGCCUUCGGGUUGUAAACCGCUUUCAGCAGGGACGAGGCGAAAGUGACGGUACCUGCAGAAGAAGCCCCGGCUAACUACGUG
Molecule: ribosomal RNA, 467 nt
Filed under: uncultured bacterium
Lineage: Bacteria
Description: partial 16S ribosomal RNA
Rfam family: Bacterial small subunit ribosomal RNA
Source: RNAcentral